This 518-nucleotide ribosomal RNA is filed under the name uncultured bacterium. RNAcentral's name for it is "bacterial SSU rRNA". It matches the Rfam family "Bacterial small subunit ribosomal RNA", at positions 16 to 518 of the family's 1533-position model. The record is from RNAcentral.
AUUCUGGCUCAGAUUGAACGCUGGCGGCGUGCUUAACACAUGCAAGUCGCGCGUGAAAGGACUUCGGUCCGAGUAAAGCGGCGCACGGGUGAGUAACGCGUGGAUGAUCUACCCAUGAGUUAGGAAUAACGGCUGGAAACGGUCGCUAAUACCAAAUACGCUCCGAUUUCAACUUCGGGGGAAAGGUGGCCUCUGCUUGCAAGCUACUGCUCAUGGAUGAGUCCGCGUCCCAUUAGCUAGUUGGUGGGGUAACGGCCCACCAAGGCGACGAUGGGUAGCCGGUCUGAGAGGAUGACCGGCCACACUGGGACUGGAACACGGCCCAGACUCCUACGGGAGGCAGCAGUGGGGAAUAUUGCGCAAUGGGCGAAAGCCUGACGCAGCGACGCCGCGUGAGGGAUGAAAGGUCCUCGGAUCGUAAACCUCUGUCAGGAGGGAAGAACCGCCACGGUGCUAAUCAGCCGUGGUCUGACGGUACCUCCAAAGGAAGCACCGGCUAACUCCGUGCCAGCAGCUGC